CGUGCAGGCGGUUUGGUAAGUUGGGCGUGAAAGCUCCCGGCUCAACUGGGAGAGGUCGUCCAAAACUACCAGACUAGAGAGCGAUAGAGGAAAAUGGAAUUCCCGGUGUAGUGGUGAAAUGCUUAGAUAUCGGGAGGAACACCAGUGGCGAAGGCGAUUUUCUGGAUCGUUUCUGACGCUCAGACGCGAAAGCUAGGGUAGCAAACG
This 207-nucleotide ribosomal RNA is filed under the name uncultured bacterium. Its description in RNAcentral is "partial 16S ribosomal RNA". It matches the Rfam family "Bacterial small subunit ribosomal RNA", at positions 568 to 774 of the family's 1533-position model. The record is from RNAcentral.